RNAcentral lists this ribosomal RNA (135 nucleotides) under uncultured bacterium. RNAcentral describes it as "partial 16S ribosomal RNA". It matches the Rfam family "Bacterial small subunit ribosomal RNA", at positions 355 to 507 of the family's 1533-position model. The record is from RNAcentral.
UGGGGAAUAUUGCACAAUGGAGGAAACUCUGAUGCAGCAACGCCGCGUGAGUGAUGAAGGUCUUCGGAUUGUAAAGCUCUGUCUUCUGGGACGAUAAUGACGGUACCAGAGGAGGAAGCCACGGCUAACUACGUG